UAUUUCUUGGGGAACAUGGAAGGGUUAUCCGGGGACAAACAUGGGGGACAGUAAAUGAGGGAAACUAGCUGGCAGUGAAUUUAAUUCCCAAACUAGCUUCUUAAAGGUGUUUUAUUGCUACCCAUCAAGUCCGAUGUGUUUUCAAGACUACUGCCCAUCCCCAUUGUCACCCUGGUGCCUCUGCCCAGGGUAGGAGUUGGCUCCGGUGUAGGGAAGGAGGAGGGUGGUUAUUGGGAGAAGCGGACAAAAUUUGGGGAAACAAGUGCUGUAUUACAUGGGGUUUUGCUGCUGCAAAGAGCAUUUGUGGGGAUGGGGGCCGCAAGCAAACGCUGCAGCUCAGCCGGUUCUGCUCCCUUUUGAUGGGCCUUGGUGAGCAAUUUGCCGAGGUCAAGGAGCUCUUUGAAGAGCUGGAGGGAGGGGAAAAGCUCUUCAGAGUAAAAUACUUCAAAUUUUGAUGGGGUUUAUACUACAAUGAAGCUGUGUGUUGCUUCUGUGUGGCUCUUUCCCCACUGCGACGCAGCCCCACGUCCUGGUGCGACUGCGUCUCGCUCCACAGAUGUUCUUGGCAACCUCAGCUCUUACCUUGGGUUGAGCUUUGAGGAAGCAGAAGGUCAAGCUGUGGUAGUUGUUGAGGAAGUUUGUAGGUUAUAAAUUCAGCUAGACCUGGUCCUUAAAAAUAAAAGAAAAUAAGAAUUUAAUGUGGACUGUCUUGUACAGGUGGGUUGGAGAAGUCAACAAGGUUGUGUGAACAAGACCAUACUGCUGAGGAAACCAGAUACCCAAGUGCCUUAGCUUUUGGGGAAAAAAAAGCUUUGUAUUUGAGACAAGCCAGUUUUGAGGAUUGAUGGCUGCUGUGGAAUGAGUGGGUAUUACAGCAUCUAAACUGAUAUCUGAGCUUCUGAGAUACAGGUGUGCCUGAGCAGGAAGGUCCCUGCAGCUGCAGUCCAUUUGGGUUUAAUUAUUGCAUUGCACUGCGUGCGGGAUUCCUCCUCAUAGAAAAGAGUCGAGGGCAAACUGCUCUGAAGAUGAAGCAGCAGAAAGAUCAGAGAAUCAUAGAAUCACAGAUGAUUUGUGUUGAAGGGGCCAUCAAAUCUCCCCCAGUGCCCCCCCUGCCAUGAGCAGGGACAUCUUCACCAGCUCAGGUUGCUCAGAGCCCCGUCCAGCCUGGCCUGGGAUGUCUCCAGGGAUGGUUCAUCCACCCUCUUGAGUAACUGCUGAAGUUGGGUUGAGGUGGUCAGGAGAUAAGUUAAUCAGGAUCUACUUUGUGUUGGUGCAUUUUAAUCUCUGCAAGAAGACUGGCAAAGGUGUGUUCGAGGUGCACAAGAGGAAGAAGUUGAUGGGUGUUGAGCAAGUGCUUGCCAGAAUGUCCAGCUUCUCGCUUCCUUCACCCCAGGGAUGAACACUGAGUUAUAGAUUUGGUAGGGCACAUGGUGGGACUGCAUAAUCAAGACCAGUGUGAGCUUGAAGGGCAGUGGUGGAGUCACCAUCCCUGGAGGGGUUGAACAGACAUGGAGAUGAGAUUCUCAGGGACAUGGGGUAGUGCCAGAGUCAGGUUAUGGUUGGACUCAGUGAUCCUGAGCAUCUCUUCCAACCCAAAUAAUUCUAUGAUCUGGAGGGAAAGAGUUAAAUCUGAGCAAAACCCAAAUUGUCUGGCAGGGCUGGAGCUCUUCCAUUCUUCCCAAAACAAGAGGAGCAGGUCAGGAACCCCAGGAAUCGCUCCUGCACCUGAGGGUCCCCAUGGAGGGCUGUGUCAGGGCUGGUGGCAUCGCCUCGGUGUUUUCUUCUGAGUCUGCAUCUCCAAAUGAACACACAGCCUGAGCCACCCAGGCAGGACGGGGAUUCUGCCUGUGCACUCUCCUCCCACUGCUGGACCAGGUGUCACCUCAAUGACACCAGUUACAGUCAAAAAAACAGCGUGAAACUCGAGUUGUGAUGGUUCACUGCCUUCACCUGCAGGGGCACUCAUUGUGCACCCCAGGACACUUGCUGCCUUGUCACCGUUUUUAAAACGCUGUUUAGAAAAGGCAGAGCCUGGCUCCUGCAGCACCUGGGGUGCAAGGAGACCCCGACACCCAUCCUGCGGGUGCUCCUGCCAAUGCUGCCAUAGAACAGAGUAAUAGAAUCAUUUUGGUUGGAAAAGACCUUUAAGAUCAUGGAGUCCAAGCGUUCCCCCACCCCUGGCACUGACCCAGACUGGUUGGGGUUGAAGGGACCUCUGGAGAUCAUCCAGUCCAACCCACCUGCUCACGCAGGGUCACCAGAGCAGAUCACACAGGGUCGUGUCCAGGCGGGUUUGAAUGUCUCAGAGAAGGAGACUCCACAACCUCUCUGGGCAGCCUGGGCCAGGCUCUGGCACCUCAUGGGAAAGAAGUUUCUCCUCAUGUUCAGAUGGAACCUCCUGUGUUUCAGUCUGUGCCCGUUGCUCCUCAUCCUGUCAUUGGGCACCACUGAACAGAGUCUGGUCCAUCCUCUUGACAUGGGUGCUUGAGAUAUUUAUAAACAUUGAUAAGAUCCCCUUUCAGCUUCUCUUCUCCAGGCUGAACAGCCCCAGCUCUCUCAGUCUCUCCUCAUAAGAAAGAUGCUCCAGAUCCUUCAGCAUCUUUUUAGCCACCACUGGACUCCCUCCAGUAAUUCCUUGUCCUUCUUAAACUGGGGAGCCCAGAACUGGACACAGUUAACAGAACCAAAGAAUCAUUUUGGUUGGAAGAUCAAGAUCACGGAGUCCAACCAUUAACCCACCCCUGGCACUGCCCCAUGUCCUGAGAACCUCAUGUCCGUCUGUCCAGCCCUCCGGGGAUGGUGACUCCAGCACUGCCCUGGGCAGCCUGUUCCAAUGCCCCACAGCCCUUUGGGGAAGAAAUUGUUCCCAGAUCCAACCUCAACCUCCCCUGGUGCAACUUGAGGCCGUUUCCUCUGCUCCUGGCGCUUGUUCCUGGGGAGCAGAGCCCGACCCCCCUGGCUCCAAGCUCCUUUCAGGCAGUUCAGAGAUCAGAAGGUCUCCCCUCAGCUCCUGUUCUCCAGCUGAACCCCCCAGGUCCCUCAGCCGCUCCAUCACACUUGUGCUCCAGCCCCUCACCAGCUCCAUUCCCUGCUAUGGGGGCUCAGCUCUGCUGUCUCACAGCUCUGACACACGUUGUGCAUCAUCAAGAUUUGUUUCUUCAAGCGACUCAUCGCAGGAAAUGAAUUUUCUGCUCCUCCGCUGCCACCCCCAGCUCCCACUGCCGGGCUCGGGUUCCAUCAGCAGCACUGAAACCACCCUUGGCUCUUACGGUGGGAACGCCAACAGGUAUCCACAGGCACAGAUGUGAACUGGGAAGCCCAGCGUACCACUGGUUUUGAGCCAGCUUCGCCUUCUCUUGGUGGCUUCUUGGUUAUGCUGUUUUGCUUCAGACACAAAUCUAUUCAGUCCUUGUCCUGAGCACCAGCCAGAGGCUCCAUUGAAACUUAUUUAACAGCAAUUCCUUUAUUUUUACAUGCUUUAAUAGGGCCUGGGCUGUAUCAUUUGGGAGGAUGCUUUAUUGAGAUGUUGGGUGGCAACUCGCUUUCUCCUCUGCAUUAACUGUUUUAAAACAUUGACUCCCUGGUUCGAUUUUAUUUGCCCUUUAAUAAAAAAAGAUAAUAUCUGCUAGAGACGAGUUUUUUUUCUCCCUCAGGCAGGUGUUUAAGAGUUCUCAUUGUUUUUAAAGCAGCUGUUUCUGUGCUUUUCGAGCGGCUGUCAGCUUGCUGAAGACAAUGAUUGAUUAUCAAGCACUUAAUUGAAAACACCGUUGAAGUGAUGUGAUGCAGAUCAUCGCUGGGAUGCUCAGGAUCACUCUUGGUCCAUGUACAGUGCUUGGAACAUCACUGCACAAAAGCAUCCCUGUAGUUUGAACGUUAGCAGGGGGAGAUGCUCUUCCUCAGCGGUUCAUGUCUUGCUUGCAAUGAAAUGACUUUAUUUUCUUGUGCAUAAUUUUAAUCAACUUUUCUCAGUCACAGAAGGGAAAAAAUGUCAUGAACUUGCUGCUUCUCUUCACCAUGAGCCAGAUUUAAAAGUACCUUUGAAAACCUGUCCUCUGCCUUUCAGCAGAUUGAAUUAUAUCCUCCGCACACCUCUUCUUAUUAACAGAUUGAGAAAGCAAACCAAGGCUUUUCCGUAGGCAUCGCUACUUUCUUCGCUCUGAGCUCAUCUCAAGUGCAAAAUACCUUCUGCGCAAACAACACAAAGCAAAAGUAACGACGGCAAAAGCCUUUUUAUGGGACAGAAAACAAAUUGACUUCAGGAAAAUGGGAAUGUGGCAUUGGUUGGAGCGAGAAGUGCUGGAGCGGGUCCAGAGAAGAGCAACACGACUGGGGAAGGGACUUGAACAUAAGACCUAUGAGGAGAGGCUGAGGGAGCUGGGCUUGUUUAGUCUGGAGAAGAGGAGGCUUAGAGCUGAGCUCAGCACUCUCUAGAACUACCUGAAGGGCAGUUCUAGCCAGGUGGGGAUUGGUCUCUUCUCCCAGGCAUCAGCAAUAGGACAAGGGGCCAUGGGCUUCAACUCUGCCAGGGGAAAUUGAGGCUGGAGAUUAGAAAGCAAUUCUGUGCAGAGAGAGUGGUCAGGCAUUGGAAUGGCUGCCCAGGGAGGUGCUGGACUCACCGGCCCUGGAGGUUUUUAAACUGAGAUUGGCCAUGGCACUUAGUGCCAUGAUCUAGUCAAUGGACUGGAGUUGGACCAAGGGUUGGACUGGAUGAUCUCUGAGGUCUUUUCCAACCCAGUCCAUUCUGUGAUUCUGUGAUUCUGAGAGCGGUGGAACGGCUCCAUGUGGCCUCAACAGACAUCUGCAGAACCCGACGUCAACGUGAAUUCCCCUUUGCCGUGACUCUGCUUUUAAUUAAAAAGCCAGAACUCUAGAGGACUCACUGGAGAGCUUUGGUCGAUUUUAUGCUGAAAUGUUGGUAGUUGUGAUUCCUUCCUUGUUAUCUGAUUCUUUCAUUCAGAUUGUGAAUGUAGUUUUCUCAAAACCAGGGACAUGCAUGGGAAGGGGUGAUGGCUGGAAAUGCAAAGCUCCCAGCAGGACAAAUUUCAGCCCCUUCCCAUCUCAUCUGCCAUGGUCUUCAUUCUUGGGAGCAAAAAUAUGGAAGAAUUUUCUGUUAUAUAAUUUUAAACAUAUAUUUGGAGGGGCUCAUACCACAAGUUUUAGGGUUUUAUUUUCUAAUCAGGCUUUCACGUCUGUAUUUGGUAAAAUAUGCUACUUUUUAAGCAUUUAUACUUGUGACUUUCAUUUCGUGCCUGAACCAGUUCCGAUGUGAAUUUUCCAACUUCUGGUUUUGGGGAGGAGCAAAGUUAUUUUUUCUCACCAGCCUACACGGCAUUUAAUCCAACUGGAACACGGGGCUGCUUUUAUACAGAAAACAACACACUGUCUUUGAGAAACUCUGCCCUGCGUGACUUGAGGAGUUAAAGCCGACUGAAGAGGUUGGUUCACAUCUCCUGAUGGGGACUCCGAGGCUGUGAGCUAAAUCUGUUUGUGCUUAAAGAUGCUGCUUCUAUUUCAGUAGGAAAGUGUCCAUCAUCCACAAGUGUUUCUUCCCACGAGCUGCACUCUCAUCGCAGAGUGUGUUUUGAUCAUAAAAUCAUGGAAUCACGGCAUGAUUUGGGUUGAAGGGAUGUUCACAGGUCAUCCAGUGCCCCCCCUGCCAUGAGCAGGGACAUCUUCACCAGCUCAGGUUGCUCAGAGCCCCGUCCAGCCUGGCCUGGGAUGUCUCCAGGGAUGGUUCAUCCACCACCUCUCUGGCCAACCUGGGCCAGGCUCUCACCACCCUCAGGGACAACAAUUUCUUCCUCAUGUCCAGCCUGAAUCUCCCUCCUUUAGUUUAAAACCAUCACCCCUUGUCCUGUUGUAACACACCCUUCUAAAAAGUCUGUCCCCAUCUUUCUUAUCGGCCCCUUUUAAGUCCAGAAAGGCCACAAUAAGGUCUCCCCAGAGCUUCUCUUCUCCAGCUGAACACCCCAACUCUCUCAGCCUGUCCUCCCAGCAGAGCUGUUCCAGCCUCGGGUCAUUCCUGUGGCUCCUCUGGCCCCUCUCCAGCAGGUCCAUGUGUGUCCUGUGCUGAGGACACAGCACUACAAGUAUCUCAUCAGUCAAAAAACACCAGGGAUAUAUGUAUUUGAUUUCAAUAGGCUGGGAUGCAGUGAGGCCCCGCGUUAGCAGGGGCAGGGUGCUGCUGGUUCAUUAACCCCUCAGACACGUGAGGAUGCGCGAGGGAUUUCUGGACGCAGCCGGUGUCACUGGGAAAGCACCGAAUACGCAGCCGUUCCCCCAUAGCCAGGGAUGUGCUCAUGAACCGAAAUGCAGGCGUUAGCGAUGCUGUGAAGAAUGACGCGAUUUCUCCCCUGAAAAAUAAUACAAAAGGAGAGGGGAGGUAGGCAGGGGCUGAAUUAAUACCCAUACGGUUACGUUUCCAUCACUGUCAUUAUCUUCCAUCACUGUCAUUAUCUUCCUCACGCGGAUCGAGAUGAGUCGAGGCGGAAGGACAGAAACCUGGCUGGGUGGUUGGGUGACCCAUCUCCACCAGCCGAAAACCUUGAUGAUCCUGUUUCUCUUAUCUCAGCAUCAUACACACUGUCCUCACCGCUAUUUCUAGGCGGAUUUACGAAGCCGCUGAAGCGCUUUAAGCAGCAUUUGAAUAUUCCAGCUGGCUAAAAACCAUGUUUUGAAAGUCUUUUGUCCCUAUGCAUUAGGACCACGUCCAUUUUCGUUGCACAGGGGAUGCACCGAAGCAUCUGGGAUGGUGCAGAAGCCACCGCAGCCCCGGACAAGCAGCAGCAAGUCCCAUCUCUGCAAAUUCCAGCCUCUCCAGUGCCUUUUGUGAGAUGGCACCAGCUUUAAUACUUCAAAGAAAGGUGUCAGAAAUGCAAAAAUGAGCAAUUAAGGAUUAAUCCGCUUGUGGGGACGGGUAUCUGCCUCCCCCUCCUGAUUGCGCUGUAAAUUAGUGCUUGACUGGAGCCCUGUCGUGUAGCUAUUUAUACCUCGAAGGUUUGAAUUAUAGCUCUGUAGAUUGUAUCGUCCCUUUGUUUAAUCCUUUUUCCUUUCUUCUGUCAUGCUUUUGACCUCGGUGAUUUUCAAAGCCGUCCGAUUCGCUUCCUAUGGUUUUCUUGUGAUGGUAUUUGUCUCCAGGAAAGGGGAGGAGAAUUAAAUGGCUUUUUCUGUACCAUUUUCUUUUCCCUAACGCUCUCCUUUACUCAUUUCCUCAUUCAACCGCCCAGCCCUUUUGUUUUAACCUUUUCAGAGGUUUUCCUCUCCCAACCUUUCUAGGGCUUUAUAUUUCCCAGGGCUAGGGGUCAAUAUUGCCCAUUAUGAGCUUGAAUUUUUCACUAAAACCUUCCGAAGGGAGAUUUGCUGCCCCGCACCUUCCCACGCGUUGGACCUGCGCCUCUCCUCCGUUAUCCCCCACCGAGGAACCAGCGAUGCGAGGGAGAGUAUUGUUGCUGUUGGGUUUAUUGGCUGCGAUUUUGCAAAUAAGCGCUUUAUAAUCACUUCCUCGCCGCGUCUCGCGGCCAAGAAAGGGGGACGCGCGGCCAAGGAAGGGCCGGUGCUUCGGCUUUCCUUUCGGGUUUGCGUUUCCUAUUUCCCAGGCUCCUUUCUUUUAGACUUGUUGGAGGAUGUAGAAUAUAUAUUUAGUCUUACACAUCUCUAUAAGUCGCAUUUUAAACAAAUAAAAAAGCCAGAAUUGGCCCCAGAGCGGUGACUGCGGCCGUUCCUGGCUCUUUGCUCCAUCACAAUUUGGAUGUUCCCGGACUUCCCGUCCAGGAGAAACCGUCAGAAAAAUAAAGAGCACAGGAGAUGCAGACACGCUGAGGUCAGCUAAAUGUUUUAAACCAUUAGACGAUGCUGUACAAGGGUGGGAAAUGAACUUUGCUGCGAAUGCAAGCGGAUAGUCCCUCCGCAGCUCAAGCUUCCCUCCCAUCCCUCUCGAUGGGGAUUCCUACCUCGAGCAGCCUUCCCACCAAAAACGCUCCCUUUGGCUUUCAGGCCCUUAUAUAGCAAUGGUUUUUUUAUUUGGCAAAGCACUGGAAGGAGUUUUGCACGUGGUUAAAUGUUUUAAACAAGAAAGAAUGACGAUAGCUCUUGAACACAAGCGUUGGCCUUUGAAGCUUGAAGUUGAGCUGAGUUGGACAUGGGCUGCAAUGAGGAUGGAAGCAACAGGAACACUUGCAUGGUGGGAAAAGCCUUUAAUUAUUUAUAAUUAAUCAAGGCUGAAUGCAUAGCCUCUGAAAGAGAGGCCGUUGCUCGUUCACAUCCAAACAUUAGCACAUCAAGCCACGUCAAGUCGUGUAGGUGAACCCAAGAGAGCAAUUCCAACCAUUUGCCAUCACCUUUCCCUGUCGUUUCUUUUUUUUUAAUCUUUUCCAUGGAACACUUGCAUUUAGGUUUAAGUUAAUAAUGAAAAGAAACCUUAAAAGUGUAAGCUGAGAAAGUAUCGAGUCUUAAUUGUGAUACUCAAUUACUAGCGUGCGUGAUACUCAUUUAACAGCGUGGUCAGCAGGACAAGGGCAGUGAUCCUUCCCCUGUGCUCUGCAUUGGGGAGGCCACACCUGGAGUAUUGUGUUCAGUUCUGGGCCCCUCAGCUCAGGAAAGAGAUUGAAGUGCUGGAGCGGGUCCAGAGAAGAGCAACAAGACUGGGGAAGGGACUUGAGCACAAGCCCUAUGGGGAGAGGCUGAGGGAGCUGGGCUUGUUUAGUCUGGAGAAGAGGAGGCUUAGAGCUGAGCUCAGCACUCUCUAGAACUACCUGAAGGGCAGUUCUAGCCAGGUGGGGAUUGGUCUCUUCUCCCAGGCAUCAGCAAUAGGACAAGGGGCCAUGGGCUUCAACUCUGCCAGGGGAAACUGAGGCUGGAGAUUAGAAAGCAAUUCUGUGCAGAGAGAGUGGUCAGGCAUUGGAAUGGCUGCCCAGGGAGGUGCUGGACUCACCGGCCCUGGAGGUUUUUAAACUGAGAUUGGCCAUGGCACUUAGUGCCAUGAUCUAGUCAAUGGACUGGAGUUGGACCAAGGGUUGGACUGGAUGAUCUCUGAGCUCUUUUCCAACCCAGUCGAUUCUGUGAUUUACUUUCUGUUUGUGUUGGUUGCACAACUCAGAGGCAGGAGCCUAAAGUAGCGACACGGCUCUUAGAUCCUAUGGGUAGUUCUUUUAUUAAAGUAUAAGAAUUUCCACUAGGAUUAAGCCCCAAAAUAACCAAACCAACUUAGCAUAGUUAGUGCAAGAGCAGGCCAUCAGACAGGUAUAUCUGGGUGUCAAAUCCUAUAUUGAAAAUUAUGGGGGAAAGGCACUGGCAGGUUGGAGUUGAUUUUUCCAAUCAAGGCUUUAAGUAGGAUAUUUUCAGUCGAAGCCGUUGCGUUUAUUAGGCCGUUUACUGGUAUACGCCAUAACCAUAACCUGGUGGAUAUUUGGGAGCUUGUUUGUCUCUUGCAGCUGUUCCAGUUUUGGGGGGAAAGAUCCUGUUUCUAUUGGAGCAGCAUUUCAGACCCUGCUCCUUCUUUUUCCAGCCUGCCGCCUGCAAUUUUCACGGAAUUCAGCCUUUCUUCUCCUUAGUGUAUAUUCAGUGUAUUUGUGGGAAGAAGUGCAUUUGUGCCUGUUACGGUUUAAGGCAAGGCGGCAAUAAACAGUGGCAGACGCCCCCUGUUAUCCCCUUUACUUCCCACCACCCCUUCCUUUAGAUCGGAAAGAUGAUUGGAAAGAUAAGAGGAAAGGAAGAGAGACUUAGACUUCACGUUGGGGAGUUUCAAAGGGUUUUACUAAUGCUACUAAUAAAUAGAGAAUAUAUAUACAAACUAUACAAAGCCGAUGUCAAGUGCUGGAUGUGGAGCUGCGUCACUCCGCAGCAGAGCUGGGGGUGCGGGGCUGGCGGCUCCAGCAGCUGCAGCUCAGGCCCCGAAGUCCCGGGUGGGACUGCACAGCAAAGCGGAACCUGGGUGCAGGAUGCGGGGCCUGAGGAUCACAGACAGACAGACAGACAGACAGGAGCCUCUCCAGAUGCCGGCCAUGGGUGAAGAGAGAGUGACCCUGUGAUCACCCUCUUAUAUAGGGGUGUGACGAUGAUGGGAUGGAAUACUUCCGCUGGUCAGCUCUAGUCACCUGUUCCAUCCACCCCUCCUCAAACACGUCCCCUCACAACGGAACGUGGGAAAACUGAUCAGUCUUUCUUGGCUACCAUAGUAAUAAAUCUACACAUGAGCUUCUUCAGCAUCCCGUUGGUCUCUUAUCAGCACCGAGUGCAGCAUCCGAGGAAAAAUAUGCAGGUUGAAACUCAGAGAAGUACAGGCACCUAGAAGAACUGAGCUGAGAGAAACAUCACUGAAAGAGAACCGGUCUUGUUUUUAACAAAUCCAGGACGGUGCCCACUGCAGAAAAGCCAAUUAUUGGAUGGACCCAGAUGCAGAGUUAAGAAUAUUCGUCGAGCAAAGCCGGUGUCGUAACCUGCGUUUUCACCCGCCGGCAAUCAGGCUGCUCUGAUGGGACGGGUUCCCUUAUCCCACCCUUCCUCCUUUUUUUCUCUGCUUUCCUCCCCAAAAAAAUGAGGGGGGGAAGGAAAGCAAAGUAACUUGUGCAGAUAAAAGGGAGGUGUAAUUAUGAGCAGUGGGACCAAUUUAAAAAUGGAAGAUUUCAGAGAGACUCAGCCUUUCUUUGACACGUUGGGCUUUUUUUCCUUUCAUAGAGGAUAAAAGAAACAUAAUUUAUUCCUAAAUUGUAAUUCCUUUUUGGUAUGAAUCUGUUUAAUUAGCGUAGUUCAUAAAUGCACAGACACAGGGGAGAGGGGGGGACUGCAAAUUCAAAUGAAGAAGGUUUCCAAAGGAGCAUCUUGCUGGCAGUGAGAUGGUUGGUGCUGCGGGGAGAUAUAAUAUCCCAGGAGAAAAGGUGGAAACUCCGACGCUUUGGACUUUCAUAAGAGUGGAUGGAGGAAUUUGGGAAGUUUCUCGUAGUGGUGGGUAGGACACAAUGAUCUAAUCGAUCUCUCGCCUCUCCAGUUCAUAUGGUUUUCAUUUCCUUCUGCCGAGAGGUGGGGAUGGGAUGGGAGGUGGUAUCAGGGAUUGGUCAUUUGUUGCAGAGUUAAUAUGUUUUUUCUGGGCUUUGAUUGUGCUACUCCAAAAUAUUUUAAGUUAGAAAGGACUUUUUAGCCGUUGCUCUGAGGAUUUCAAGCUGUGUAAGGGUGUGACCAUCCGAGCGAUUAUUGCUCUUCAGCUUCACUGAAAUCACAAUUGAGACAAGUCCCAAAACUGUCUUGUAUCAAUAGGGUGGCAGCGCAGGAGCUUAGUAACCAAAUACUCUUUCACUGAGAUUUUAAUUGCGUUUUCAUUGCUUUCACACGCAAGAAAUCCUGUUUCCUAUAUGGUCCGUACUACAGAGCUCUGAGAAUGGGUCAGAAGUCACAGAGUCACAGACUGGUUGAGUUGAAGGGACCUCUGGAGAUCAUCCAGUCCAACCCACCUGCUCACGCAGGGUCACCAGAGCAGAUCACACAGGGUCGUGUCCAGGCGGGUUUGAAUGUCUCAGAGAAGGAGACUCCACAACCUCUCUGGGCAGCCUGGGCCAGGCUCUGGCACCUCAAACUGAAGAAGUUUCUCCUCAUAUUCAGAUGGAGCCUCCUGUGUUCCAGUCUGUGCUUGUUGCCCCUCACCCUGUCACUGGGCACCACUGAACAGAGUCUGGUCCAUCCUCUUGACACCCACCCUUAAGAUAUUUAUAGACAUUGAUAAGAUCAAGGUGAGUCAGAAUGUAGCCAAGAACACCUUAUUCGCCUUCUCUUCAAACCUUGGUUGUCCAUGCAGGCUGGUGUUGAGAAAACCUUUUGAAGCUUUUUGGGAUUUAACCUGCUCGUAACGGUAAAUUAUGUGGUUAAUGCCUCUUGAUGUGUUGCGGCUGAAUCGUGGCUUGAAGGUCACAACUGGUCUACCACCAGCCUUAUUUAUCUACCGACGUGGUUGCUCUUUCUGUUGAUGGGAAGAAAAACAAGAAUAUGUGAUUGUGCGUGGAUUUCCAAGGAAAAACUGAGAGAUCUGAGGACAAGUUCUUUCCUUUGCCACCAAGAUUGACAUGUCAUGGUGGAGGAGAUGGUUGUAGGACCUGGGAGGAGGGAAGAGAUGGGAGAGGGUGUGCAGCUUUUGGGAAGAAGAUGGAUUAAAGUUUGGGUUGGUGAUAAACGUGAAGGUUGUUCAUGGGGCAGAGAUAGUUGGAGCAGGGAAAACGAGGACUGUAGAGCCACAGGUGAAGGAAAAACUGAAGUAUCUUGGAUCUGCAGCGUGGUCCAGCGGUAGGAUAUUGGAUUUGGGUGUUCAACCUAAGCCCAGCAAGGCUUAUGUGUAAAACCUGUACAAGGAAACCGUGUGUUUUAUGCCAAACAGAAGAAAAAUUAUUCAUUACAUCUCCUAAGAGGAGCAAUGUGUGGUGUCCGUGGAGUAAGGUGUGCGGUCCGUGGUUACGUUUGUCCUUGAGACAUGGGUGCGUGUAAACACAGUUCACACGUGUCUGGUUUUGAGGCUGCAUAACUAUCAUAUCCAUCUUUAUUUGAUUCUGUGCUACGGGGCUCAUAUUCCCUCAUUUCAAAUGUGAAAAAUGGAACCAUAGAGUGUUGACGCAACCACCUCUGCAGCAGGACGCGCUCAGAGCAUCUUCAUCCCCUUCCACAGUGCAAGCUCAGGUUUCUCCUGGAUCGUUUCUUUUCCCUUGUAUCAAAUUUUGCUCCCGGUUUAAGAUUUAUAUUAAAAAGAACAACACCA
Molecule: long non-coding RNA, 12730 nt
Organism: Columba livia (rock pigeon)
Lineage: Eukaryota; Metazoa; Chordata; Aves; Columbiformes; Columbidae
Exons: 2
Source: RefSeq, a predicted model, not a curated record